GAUAAACGCUGACAGAAUGCUUAACACAUGCAAGUCAACUUGAAUUUGGGUUUUUAACUUAGAUUUGGGUGGCGGACGGGUGAGUAACGCGUAAAGAACUUGCCUCACAGCUAGGGACAACAUUUAGAAAUGAAUGCUAAUACCUGAUAUUAUGAUUUUAAGGCAUCUUAGAAUUAUGAAAGCUAUAUGCACUGUGAGAGAGCUUUGCGUCCCAUUAGUUAGUUGGAGAGGUAACAGCUCACCAAGGCGAUGAUGGGUAGCCGGCCUGAGAGGGUGAACGGCCACAAGGGGACUGAGACACGGCCCUUACUCCUACGGGAGGCAGCAGUGGGGAAUAUUGGACAAUGGACCAAAAGUCUGAUCCAGCAAUUCUGUGUGCACGAUGACGUUUUUCGGAAUGUAAAGUGCUUUCAGUUGGGAAGAAAAAAAUGACGGUACCAACAGAAGAAGUGACGGCUAAAUACGUGCCAGCAGCCGCGGUAAUACGUAUGUCACAAGCGUUAUCCGGAUUUAUUGGGCGUAAAGCGCGUCUAGGUGGUUAUGUAAGUCUGAUGUGAAAAUGCAGGGCUCAACUCUGUAUUGCGUUGGAAACUGCAUGACUAGAGUACUGGAGAGGUAAGCGGAACUACAAGUGUAGAGGUGAAAUUCGUAGAUAUUUGUAGGAAUGCCGAUGGGGAAGCCAGCUUACUGGACAGAUACUGACGCUAAAGCGCGAAAGCGUGGGUAGCAAACAGG
This 735-nucleotide ribosomal RNA is filed under the name uncultured Streptococcus sp. RNAcentral's name for it is "bacterial SSU rRNA". It matches the Rfam family "Bacterial small subunit ribosomal RNA", at positions 28 to 776 of the family's 1533-position model. The record is from RNAcentral. Lineage: Bacteria; Bacillati; Bacillota; Bacilli; Lactobacillales; Streptococcaceae.